RNAcentral lists this long non-coding RNA (1330 nucleotides) under Ficedula albicollis (Collared flycatcher). RNAcentral describes it as "lncRNA (ENSFALG00000023859.1)". The record is from RNAcentral. Lineage: Eukaryota; Metazoa; Chordata; Aves; Passeriformes; Muscicapidae.
GUGGGAACAUGCCAGAGAGGGGGGUCUGGGGGUAAGGAGGGAAAUUCUGCCAUCCUGGAAGGAAAGGAGAGCCUGGGGAAAACUCCUCGGUAUGGGAUGGUAUGGGGUAGGGGGUCUCCAGGAGCAGGUACCCUGAGCUCAGUGUCUUUUUGGGGCUCUGUGAGCUGCUGAAGGGAAAAAAACAAGUCUCCAGUUGGGAUGCACAGGGAAGAUUGCUGCUUGGUUUCUGAGAUGUUGUGUGAAAAACACCCACUCAUGCUCAAAGGCUUGGAUUGCUCCCUGGUUUGCCUCAGCAGUAGGAAGAGCUGCUGCUGCCUUCCCGGUGAGGGGAGCAGAGGGCACGGUGAGCCAAGGGGCUGAAGCCCGGGGCUGCCCCACCAGCCAGCUCCAGUCUGGGUGGAGAAAAAAUUCCCCUCGGCAGGCGGCUGGUGCACGAGGAGCCGGUGCGACCGUGCCCGUGUCCGUGCAGGGUUGUUCCCUGUAUCCCGGGGCUGCUCCUGCAUCCCAGGACUGCUCCCUGCAUCCCAGAGCUGUUCCCUCCAUUCCAGAGCUGUUCCCUAUAUCUCAGGGCUGUUCCUGCAUCCCAGAGCUGCUCUUUCCAUCCCAGAGCUGCUCUCCCCAUCCCGGGACUGCUCCCUGCAUCCCAGAGCUGUUCCCUCCAUUCCAGAGCUGUUCCCUAUAUCUCAGGGCUGUUCCUGCAUCCCAGAGCUGCUCUUUCCAUCCCAGAGCUGCUCUCCCCAUCCCGGGGCUGUUCCUGCAUCCCAGAGCUGUUCCUGCAUCCCGGGGCUGCUCCCUCCAUCCGAGGGCUGCUCCCUCCAUCCGAGGGCUGCUCCCUGCAUCCAAAAGCUGCUCUCCCCAUCCCGGGGCUGUUUUCUGCAUCCCAGAGUUGCUUCCGGCAUCCCGGGGCUGCUGCCUCCAUCCCAGAGCUGCUCCCUGCAUCCCGGGCACCAGCUGGUGCCGGGAGGGAUGCUCGGGGGGUCGAUGCCUGCAUUUAACUCCCUGGUUGCGGAGUGAAACCCGCAGGAGAGCGGGUGUGCGUGUGUCAGUCAGCAUCCUGAGCCAAUGGGUGCCCGGUAGGAGGUCUGCGCUCCCGGUGCACGCACGGAGCCCGGUGCUCCUUCUGCCAGUUGUGUGCGAGCGUGUGUGCGUGUGCAAGGGGAGAUCAGGCACACUGACUGCCUGCUCCCGUCUCUCCCCCUCUCUCCAGCUCGCUAACUCCGUCUCCCUCCCUCUGCAAACAAACAUUGGAUUUAAACCUGCUCAGAAUUCAGCGCAGACGGAAAGCAGCGGCGGCAGCAGCAAGCAGCAAGCAGCGCAGCCGCUCGCCUAG